GACGAACGCUGGCGGCGUGCUUAACACAUGCAAGUCGAACGGAAAGGCCCUUCGGGGUACUCGAGUGGCGAACGGGUGAGUAACACGUGGGUGAUCUGCCCUGCACUUUGGGAUAAGCCUGGGAAACUGGGUCUAAUACCGAAUAGGACCACGCGCUUCAUGGUGUGUGGUGGAAAGCUUUUGCGGUGUGGGAUGGGCCCGCGGCCUAUCAGCUUGUUGGUGGGGUAAUGGCCUACCAAGGCGACGACGGGUAGCCGGCCUGAGAGGGUGACCGGCCACACUGGGACUGAGAUACGGCCCAGACUCCUACGGGAGGCAGCAGUGGGGAAUAUUGCACAAUGGGCGCAAGCCUGAUGCAGCGACGCCGCGUGAGGGAUGACGGCCUUCGGGUUGUAAACCUCUUUCACCAGGGACGAAGCGUAAGUGACGGUACCUGGAGAAGAAGCACCGGCCAACUACGUG
RNAcentral lists this ribosomal RNA (462 nucleotides) under uncultured bacterium. RNAcentral's name for it is "partial 16S ribosomal RNA". It matches the Rfam family "Bacterial small subunit ribosomal RNA", at positions 28 to 507 of the family's 1533-position model. The record is from RNAcentral.